GCCAGCAUGGUUUAGUGGUUUUAGUCUUGGACUAUGACUUUGGAGACCAGGGUUUGAACUCCUGUUCAGAUA
This is a non-coding RNA of Phrynosoma platyrhinos (Desert horned lizard), 72 nucleotides long. NCBI's taxonomy places the organism in Eukaryota, Metazoa, Chordata, Lepidosauria, Squamata, Phrynosomatidae. The record is from the annotation of a GenBank genome assembly.